UCCAACAGGAGCUGACACAUGGCAAGUGAUGUUUAUGCCAGAUAAGCAGUUGAUCUAAAUGUUGGCACUUCUUACCCACUGUGGGUGCCCCAUCCUCAGAAGAAGGGUACGGUACUCAAGAAAGUGACUCAUCUCCACCUCUCAAGGCAAUAGUUGACAUGGAUAGUUGUAUGCCGAAGUUGAAAAGCAAUGAACAAUAAGCAGUAGGAUAUGACCUAUGAACUCAACACCGUAUACUGAACCAAGCACCAGUAUGGGUUAUGCCACCUUCUCAUCAUGGAACAGGAGGGACAGAAGCCUGGACUCCCACACCACCAGGUUCAAGAGCAGCUGCCACCGUUCAACCAUUUUGUUCUUAAAUCUCCCUGCACAUCCUUAAUCACUAUUUCAGUAGAGCAAUAUUUUAACCACUUUGUACUACAAUAGACCUUUUUUUUUGCUGUAGUUGUGUUCUUUUUUGCACAAAUUUGUUAAAACUUAUGUUUGGAUUAUAUCUUUCUUGUGAAUGUUGUGUCUCUAAUGCCAUGUGUGCCUGUGAUGAUGUGGCAGGUAAUUCAUUUCACCUGCAUAUAUAGAUGUAGUCUGAAUAUGACAAUAACCUUGUCUUUGACUUUGAUGGAUAAGAGUUCUACCUCCAUCAUAAUGGUGGAAGGAACAUGAUAGAUACCUGUGUCUUAUAUACACAUGUAUGUAUGAGUUCUAAAACAUGGAUCCCCCAUGCUGACACACACCGGAACUCGGAAAACAUCUAUGGAAGUAAAUAAAUCAAAGUUUCGGGCCAUGAUCCUCCAUCAGACCCUUCACUCCGACUUGCUGAGUUCCUUCAGCAUUUUGUGUGAGUUGUUCAAAGUCACCAGCAUCUGCAGAAUUUCUUGUGGUCCCCUUGUCAAGACUGGUUGGCUUUAUGGUUCCCUAUUUCAAACUUCCUCACAAAAACCCUCAGAACUCUUAUCCAUCCUGACUCAAUCUGCUGUCUGAUAUCACACCCUUUCCCAAUCGAAAUCCUCAGUCUCCUUUCUCAACCACAAAUCUCUCCUGAGCUCCCCACUUCCAAUGAUCCACUUCAUCCACCUCCGCAGUCUUCAGUGUUCCCCCCUUUCCUGAUCCUCAUGUUGGGACCUUCUCUAACACUAACACCAUUCUCUGUUCUCCGUGUCUUAUCCACUACACACCUCUGAUCUCCCGUUCUGGACUGCUUCCUUUUUCUCCACUUCACCAUCCCCCAACACACAUCCUAACUCUAUUUCCCACCAACCCCCUUUCUCACACCAGCUUAUCCUCACCCCCAACCUCUAAUUCCACCAUCCACAUCUCCUUGCUUCACAGCCACUGCUCAACUUGCUUCUAUCAACAGCUCAUUCUUGCUCUCCUCAGUGGUAGCUGGCUGUUUUCACCAUGCCAGCUUCAUUAUACGCAGACACAAAGCCCAGUUUUGGGCUUCAUUAUCCCAGGCCCAAUGCCUGCUCACCCAAACAACCCACAUUUCUAGGUCAUUAAGUCUUAAUAUUUCCUUAAUCAAAAUCAAGUGCUUGAAGCCAAAGCUAUUGUGUCAUUUGUAAGCUUGUGCUAGUUCUUGUGCGUGUGUAUUCAAGUUUCAGCACUUCAAACUGGUGUUGUUUGUGUGCUCAUGCACCAGCUUGUGGUUUUGUUUUAUACACUGUUAAUUGGUAAAUGAAGGCUAGGCUCUAUGCUCUUUCAUUGUGAUGUAAAGACAAGCCUCAUGAGCCUUGCAGCCAGCUUCACUCUUCCUCUGCUCUACGUUGUAGAGUGGUAACCCAUUUUUCAAAUACUGAAAUGCCACAAAGCAAAUUUUAUGGUUUGAAUAUCAUCCAUUUUGGAAGAGAAAGCAAGAUUUUCUAAGAUUUGGACAGUAUGUAGUGAUGAGGGUCUGAAGCCAAUGAAUUAUUCUGAGGGGUGUUGUUUUCUGCAUACCUGAUUUUUGAUGUUUUCCACUUAACAAUCACAUUAAUUAUUAAAGAUAAAGUUUCACAACCUUUAAGAUACAGUAUUACAUCUUUUUCUGGACAGUUUUCAUUGGUCUUUUGUCCUUUUACUGAGAGGUUGCAGGGUCAUACACUUCCUGAAAUCAUCCAUUGACCAACAUUUAUCAGGGUCAAACCAUAUCGAACAACUUGACUCACAAAAGCAAACUUAUGUGAAACAGGCCAACUACAGAGACAUAGUGCUGUACAAAUAUGUUUGGCCUUGUACGUUGAAGGCUUGAUGAGAAAGAGUUUGGACCUAAACCUUUAAGCUUAUAUAAAUGGAGCUCAUUUUAGUACUGAGCAAUUGCGUGAAUUGUGCAGCUAGAACUUCAUUCCUUAGACCAAAGUGUAUUGAUGUGUUUCUGUUCUGCAAAGAAUAUUGCAUAUGCAGGGUUUGUAAUUCAAAAGCAGUCUCCCAAACCCCAUAGUACAAGGGUGGCAACAUUUCUGAGAGCGUGUGCCUGAAGUGGCAAUAAUAUUCUGAAAAAUGCGCUCAUAUGCCUUGGUAAUUUUGAGCAGAGAUUUUCAUUAGUUAGUGAAUUUGUAACAAAGUUAUUGAAUUUUUUCAGGAAAAAGGAUGUCCUGUUGCUCAUUUAUGUGUAUACAUAACUUGACUAUUAAUUGAAGUAUAACAGAGACAAUGAAAUAGAUGAAGCAUUUUAGAAAACCCGUUGAAAAAUCAAUAUUAAUCUUUUAAUAGAGAGGAAGUCCUGCACACCACUGUUUCCUGUUUCAGAACAUAAGAUGCAUAAGACUUUAUCACCCUUUUCAAUCAUGCCAAAUCUUUCACUCCACCGCUCUUGAAAACCUCUGCUGCUUCUCCCAUUAUUUCAAAGUUUUUCUUUCUUUGCUGGUGUAUUGGACUUUUUGAAAAGGGCAAAAUCAAUUUAAAUUCUAGUUCAGUCUAGUUUUUGUACUGUGUCAUGUAACACCAUGAUCCUGCAAACGUUGUCUCAGUUUUCCUGUGUACUGUACCAGUAGUUAUGGUCGAAAUGACAAUAAAAGUGACUUGACUUGA
Hypanus sabinus (Atlantic stingray) is the source of this 3003-nucleotide long non-coding RNA. RefSeq lists it as uncharacterized. The transcript is spliced from 2 exons. The record is from RefSeq and is a predicted model, not a curated record. NCBI's taxonomy places the organism in Eukaryota, Metazoa, Chordata, Chondrichthyes, Myliobatiformes, Dasyatidae.